Molecule: long non-coding RNA, 605 nt
Organism: Uranotaenia lowii
Lineage: Eukaryota; Metazoa; Arthropoda; Insecta; Diptera; Culicidae
Exons: 3
Source: RefSeq, a predicted model, not a curated record
UCAUAGUCUCGAUUGGCAAAAAAAGAAAAAAAAAAUCCUCAAAAUUAUCGAGAGCGCAUUCUUUCUGUCCCUAAUUUCUUUAGCCGGAAUACCAUAUACGGAAUGGACAAAAGAUCAGCUAAUAUUCCCCAGCUAGGAUGCCGCUUUGAUCAUCAGGGAUUAGCUCAGACCAUGAUCGGUGCACCGGCUGAAAAAAAGAUGAGUUGCCCUAGCACAAAAUACAUGCCGAAUAGGAAUACUGGAAGACGAUUCAGUUCCUUUUCCGCACAAAGAAGCUGCACAAUGACAACGUCACCGAAGCAGAAAAAAUAGUCGUCGAAUCCCAUCCGAUCAUCGUUCUUCCGCGCCGUGGACUGGCCCACGUCCACCGGCCAGGGCUAUAAAGAAUAUUUCAGAUGGCAGGGGUCAGAACUAAAUUCGCACUCAUCCGGCCAUAGGAAGAAACAGAAAUUUAACAUCCGGGCCGACGGAGCUGAUACCUAAUCCUUACAGGCGAUGGCGCUUCGACCGCUGGUUGCGUUUUCGGUUAGUUGUUGCUGCCGGAAGAGCUGUCUGGUGAGACAAAAAAAAAAUCGAAGGCAGUGAGUAUAAUAAAUGAUAUACGA